AUGUUGAAAGGUCUUUUAGAGGUGGCGGCAAGAGGUGCCAAGACUGACAAAGGAUUCAAAGAAGCUGCAAAAUUGAAAGUUGCAAAUUGUAUAUCUGCUUUCGUUGGUUAUGACAUGUCUAUUACUCAAGUGCAUAAUCAUAUUCGCAAGUGGCAGAAUAGGUGGACAAGGAUUGUUUAUUUGAAGAGUUUAAGUGGGGCACUUUGGGAUGAUGACAAGAAGGUGGUACUUCUAGAAGAACAACACUAUUUGGGCCACACUCAGGAUCAUCCAACAGAUGCUGAACUUCUCAACUCCCCACUAGAGAACUACAACUAUAUGGAAAAUUGCUUUGCUAAUAAGAAAGCUACCGGGAAUUAUGCAAUGGCCAUCAGUGUGCCACUGGGAACGCCUAUUGUUGUGUAAGACAAAGAUAAACCCAAUGUCAUGGAGGGGCAUGGAACAACUGAUGAGGUACUGCAACAUCUUCCUGGGUCCAACUCCGUACUUCCAACUGCUAGUGCCACUCAGGACCCUUCACCUACUUCAAAUAAGAGGAGAAAGAGGGCAUCCGUUUUGACUGAGGAGGACACAAUCCAGUGCAGCAACAUGGCUGAUGCUAUGCGUGAGAUUGCAAGUGCUACCAACAACACUUGCCAUGCUGAAACACACCCUGACUUGUACAAGGCUGUCAUGGACCUUAUUGUGUUUGAUCAAAAUGAUCACUUGGCUGUUCUAGAUUAUCUCACGGAACAUAAGGCAAAAGGCCUCAACUUUGUGAAGAUGAAUGAUGAAGUCCGUCAAGCAUCGUUCAAAAUGUAUCUUGAAAGCCAAUCCGAAUCUUCUUUCAGUUCGUGUUAG
This 840-nucleotide ribosomal RNA is filed under the name Triticum aestivum (bread wheat). RNAcentral describes it as "partial small subunit ribosomal RNA". The record is from RNAcentral. Lineage: Eukaryota; Viridiplantae; Streptophyta; Magnoliopsida; Poales; Poaceae.